UUGAUUGCACACCAGCGUUGGGACUUCAGAAUGGAGCUCCUCUUGCCACCAGCGGAUCACAAGCACCACACGUCUUCCUUUCUUGAUUUGAUUUACAGGAGUCGGCAGUGCCCACUUCGUGCCCAGAGUAAGACCUUGAAGAACAUAGAGUGAAUGACUGCAAAGAUAAACCAAGAUGUCUUGAUGGCCUGCCACCAGCCAGGGUGGAACAGCUGCUCAGAAGUCCACACAGAGCCCAG
RNAcentral lists this long non-coding RNA (239 nucleotides) under Mustela putorius furo (domestic ferret). RNAcentral describes it as "lncRNA (ENSMPUG00000027505.1)". Lineage: Eukaryota; Metazoa; Chordata; Mammalia; Carnivora; Mustelidae. The record is from RNAcentral.